Capsicum annuum is the source of this 522-nucleotide long non-coding RNA. RefSeq lists it as uncharacterized. The transcript has 2 exons. The record is from RefSeq and is a predicted model, not a curated record. Lineage: Eukaryota; Viridiplantae; Streptophyta; Magnoliopsida; Solanales; Solanaceae.
CCCGAUACAACUAUACGCUUCUCUCUGUUUAAGAGACACCACGCAGAUGACAAUUUUCCUCCAAAUAGGAGAUUGGAACCUAACUGAUGUUGAUUGAUGUGAAAAUAUGGGUUGUGAUGAUGAUUUGCUCUUUCGGGUCUAUAAUCUACUUCGCUAUGUUGAUAAGAUCUGACCCAUAUCUUGGCGGGGAAAUCCAUAUGGCGCAUUCGCAAACCGGUGUAUCUGCAGCUAUGGCGUGUGUUGAUCCUCUUUUUACUUGUUUGUAGAACAGUAAAAUCUGAGCGCUAAAAUUUUUACUAUAACACCCAAUUGGGUUAUUUAGUUUUGUAGAAUAACCUAUUUUUCUGAUGCAGCUCUUCACCAAUUUUUAGCUCAAAGUAGAGGUAAUCAGAGAAAAAAGAUGAUUUAUUUGUAAUUUAUAUCAAUUUUUUUUUUCUUUUUUUAAUGUGCAGUUUACAUUGAGGUAAUAGUUAUUAUUUUUUAAAUUAUUAUUUUAAUUAAUAUUUUAUUUCGUGGUAUUGA